RNAcentral lists this ribosomal RNA (490 nucleotides) under uncultured bacterium. RNAcentral describes it as "partial 16S ribosomal RNA". It matches the Rfam family "Bacterial small subunit ribosomal RNA", at positions 29 to 507 of the family's 1533-position model. The record is from RNAcentral.
AGUGAACGCUGGCGGCAGGCCUAACACAUGCAAGUCGAACGGCAGCACAAGAGAGCCUGCUCUCUGGGUGGCGAGUGGCGGACGGGUGAGGAAUGCAUCGGAAUCUGCCCAUUUGUGGGGGAUAACCUCGGGAAACCGGGACUAAUACCGCAUACGACCUACGGGUGAAAGCAGGGGAUCUUCGGACCUUGCGCAGAUGGAUGAGCCGAUGCCGGAUUAGCCAGUUGGAGGGGUAAAGGCCCACCAAGGCGACGAUCCGUAGCUGGUCUGAGAGGAUGAUCAGCCACACUGGGACUGAGACACGGCCCAGACUCCUACGGGAGGCAGCAGUGGGGAAUAUUGGACAAUGGGCGCAAGCCUGAUCCAGCCAUGCCGCGUGUGUGAAGAAGGCCUUCGGGUUGUAAAGCACUUUUGUUGGGAAAGAAAAGCAGCCGGUUAAUACCCGGUUGUCAUGACGGUACCCAAAGAAUAAGCACCGGCUAACUUCGUG